UGAGGAAUAUUGGGCAAUGCCCGCAAGGGUGACCCAGCAACGCCGCGUGGAGGAUGAAUGUCGUAAGAUUGUAAACUCCUGUUAGAGGGGAAGAAUAGUACCGGUUGGACCGGUAUAUGACUGUACCCUCAGAGAAAGCCCCGGCUAACUACGUGCCAGCAGCCGCGGUAAUACGUAGGGGGCAAGCGUUGUCCGGAUUUACUGGGUGUAAAGGGCGCGCAGGCGGGAUAAAAAGUCAGUGGUGAAAUCCUACAGCUUAACUGUAGAACUGCCUUUGAUACUUUUAUUCUUGAGUUCGGGAGAGAGUGACGGAAUUCCCGGUGUAGUGGUGAAAUACGUAGAUAUCUGGAAGAACACCAGUUGCGAAGGCGGUCUCUUGGUCCGACACUGACGCUGAGGCGCGAAAGCGUGGGGAGCAAACA
Molecule: ribosomal RNA, 422 nt
Filed under: uncultured bacterium
Lineage: Bacteria
Description: bacterial SSU rRNA
Rfam family: Bacterial small subunit ribosomal RNA
Source: RNAcentral